UUGUUAUAAGUGAAUAUAAAUUAAUUAAUACGGUAAAAUAAAUUAUGAAUUACUGUUAUAAUAAACAAAUCAGAUAUAACUUCGGUUCCGCAACCGAUGCUUUAAAUGCGGUACAUAAACAAUGCCCAGCAUGCUCAGAAACUAACUCGAUGAAUUUAUUGACAUCGAUUGCUGUUCAUUUGCCCAAGCUAAGUGAGCUUGAUAAAUUGGAUAACCUUGAAAAGUCAGCACAAGAGUUACAUGAAAAAGUGGAUGAUAUUAUUUCUAAGCAGGCUGCAUUGGAUGCUAAAUUUAUCAGUUUGGAGAAAAGAGUGAGUGAGCUUGAAAAUAAGGGAUUUUCAGGUGGCUCAAAAAAGGAAGCUGAGAAGGUUUCAAGGGCAGCCGAUAUUUUGCUCAAUUGCAAUUUUGAACAACGGGCCUUACAAAUUGAGGCACAAGCUCUUGUGGAUGAGAUUUCAAUAUCUGGUUUAGAAGAAGUAGGGGAGGAAAAUCUCAAGGAAGUUGUAAAAAAUUUAUUUGACGUCCUUGACGUUCCUCGGGAUGAUCUCGGAGUCAAAUAUGUAAAAAGAAUUGGCAAAGUAGCUGAAUCUAGGACCAGGAAUGCUAGGCAAAAACGGAGGGAUGUGCUGAUAAAGUUUGACUGUAAAGAAGCUGUUGAUGUAAUGAUCAAGAAGUCCAGAGAUAUUGUUAUUAAAAAUAAUGAUUUGAUAGCCAAGGAAAAUAUCUCGCAGGACCCUGUGCGUCUUCAUCGCCGUCAUCCGCCUGGUUUAUAUAAAUUUCGGUUGCAGUUAUUAAAGGACUAUCCUAAGCUACUUGCAAAUAAUGUGUGGAUUGCCGCAGCCUCAGUGUUCGUCAGAAUAGAUUCCGAGAAACCGCCGCUAAAAUUAUUGCCGUCUAAUGGGAUAGAGGAGCUUAAAAAGCACAUUCGUUCACGUCAAUAACUUUCAUCCACUUCAUCAUCAUUAUCGCUUGCUCAGGAACGAGUGAGUCAAUCAACUACCUCUGCUCAAGUUCCUCUCAGUGUCUGUCACGUUACUAUUCGUUCAUUAAACUGCAACUUCAUUUUGUUUAGAGAAUUUUUUAGGACGCAUACUUUUGAUGUUAUUGCUGUUAGCGAAACAUGGUUAAACGCAAAUAUGUCAGAUGCUCAAUUUCAUAUUCCGUCAUUUACAUUGCACAGGAAUGAUCGGUAUCAAAGGAGUGGGGGAGGUGUUGUGUUGUACGUCAGAGACUCGCUUUCGUCGAAAUUUAUCAUCAGUUCUGACUAUAUUCCUGGUCACCCGGAAUAUUUGCUUAUUGAAAUCUGGCACUCGACGAGACAAAAAAUUUUAGUGGGAGUAGUAUAUAAUCCGCCUACUUCUUCAUCGUUAAAUCUAUUGGAGGCUGAUAUGGAUGACGUUAUGUCACAUUACAAUCACGUUAUUCUUCUUGGGGAUUUUAAUAUUAAUAUGCAAGUCGCUAACUCAAGAUCGGAUCUCCUACUAGAAUUCUAUGGAAGUCUCGGUAUGCAUCUGGUCAACUUCGAAGCUACUCAUCAUUCAGCUGAUAGUCACUCCUGGAUUGAUCACUGCUUGUGCGUGGGCGUAAAAAGAUCUGGUGCAGGAGUUGGAACCAUAUUGAUGACACCUGUCUGCGAAAUAUCUGCGACAACUUAGAUCUGUCACACGUUGAGCAUUCUGAGUCAGUUGACGAAAUGAAUAACUUGCUUCAUCAACACAUUCGUCAAGUGAUUGAAGCAGUAGCGCCUUUGAGAGAAGUUGAAGUUCGUGAUCAACCUGCACCCUGGGUGACUCAAGAAGUUAACCCUUGUGGAAAUAAUUUGCUGAAAAAUCUCUUAGAAAGUUUUCAAAACUCUGCAGAAGACAUUUUGAAAGUCUUGCCGUCCUUAA
RNAcentral lists this unclassified non-coding RNA (1889 nucleotides) under Cotesia glomerata. RNAcentral describes it as "uncharacterized LOC123273056, transcript variant X1". The record is from RNAcentral. Lineage: Eukaryota; Metazoa; Arthropoda; Insecta; Hymenoptera; Braconidae.